UAGUAUAAAAACGAUGGAUGAUGGAACAGCUCCUCAGCAGUGAAGCCAAAGCAAGUAGAACUCCCCUAGUGACUGGCUGCAGCAUAGGCAGGCGGCAACAUCCGGGGCUGGGCGAUGAAGCCCAUGCGAAGUGCAAAACAUUGCAGUUCAUCGAGUGGCCGCUUGAGGCUGGUUGCAAAAGGGAGAAAAUCCCACAGACCCACAUGUUAAAAAGCCCAACUUUACAGCAUUAUUAGAUAUGUUUACAGUCUAGUUCCAAAAACUUUUUUUUUUCUUUUCUUCUCAAUGGUUUAUUUCACUAUUCAUAACAACUGUACGGGGGUGAUUUCCCCCCCAACUCGUUCGUUUAAGUUUUAUUAAGGAUUGAAAUUCUGUAUAAUUACCACUCUGAGUGACCGGCGGUAGCCUGAGCUAAGAGUUGGGGGGGUUGUCCAUAGUACUGUCAAUGAGCAUAGGUCAUACGCUCCACUUCCUCCAUCCGAUGGGACUAAGGUCAAACACUAAAAUACAUGCCAUUUUUUUUCAAUGACGGUUUCUGUCAUUUAAGAUAUAAUACUGUUGCACACUCAACUGUCCAUCUUUUCUGAUAAGUUUAAAAAAUUAGUGCGUCUGGCGAAAGUGUAGGCGGGUGAUCGAGCCCGCGCCUUCAGGUGUCUUCACUCUCGAUUGUACUGCGCAGACUCUGUCUGCAAACUCGCAAGAUGGCGCGGCCCGUAUCUGAGUCGUACCAGGAAAUUGGUGUUAGAAGGGAGCGUUGUCCUCUCACGCUAUCAAGGAACGAAGAUGUCGUUUUAACCUGCCCAGUCAUCCGUCUUUUACAACUGUCGUCAUUCCCCCCCGUCCCUUUGUCUCCUCCCACUUUCCUUAUAAGGAAGACGCCAACUAUCGAGUGACUAGCUUGAACAUGGGGUAGGUGUACGGACGGUGUUUGAAUAUCGUAGGCUAAUUACUUUAAUCACCCGUCUCACAGUACUUACAGUGUUAGCUAAAUGCCUUCAAUGUGUGGGUAGCUUUCUUCAUCCUCAACCAAUCCAACAUCAUCGAUCUAUUAAUCCUCUGUCUUUAAAUGUCAUGUUUAAUGUGUUUUGUUGUAAGAGACCACCAGUAGUCUACUGGAGUGUAGUUGACUCGAACAUUGGCGGAUAAGACUGCUUUUGGGGUUAGCCUGUUAGGAUUUAUUUCGUGGGCCUUUGAGCUGUAUUAAACUUCUAGACUGGAUGGAUCUGAGAAUGAAUCCCAGCGACUGGAGCUGAACAACAUAGUGAGAGGAGGCCAGCUGCAAUCUGCAAGAAAUGGCAUAACUGAAGAACUCAAAAGUAGAUUUGUUCAGAAAGAAAUGCACUCCCAUGUCAGAAAGCAUGACAUAAAGUAUUGAGCCCCAUCUGCAACGAGAGCAACUGAGACUUUGUUAUGAUACUGGAAACUCGUUUACAGGGCCCAAGGGAGUACUGCAUUUAUUUUGUGUUACUACAGAAUGAUUCAGACAUGUCUGAAGGUAGAGAACAGUAAUGAACAUUGUCUGGCUCUAUAUACAGCGGGUAAAAUAAAUAUUGAACAUAUCACAA
This is a long non-coding RNA of Mugil cephalus (flathead mullet), 1565 nucleotides long. RefSeq lists it as uncharacterized. The transcript has 3 exons. Lineage: Eukaryota; Metazoa; Chordata; Actinopteri; Mugiliformes; Mugilidae. The record is from RefSeq and is a predicted model, not a curated record.